Hemiscyllium ocellatum (epaulette shark) is the source of this 2224-nucleotide long non-coding RNA. RefSeq lists it as uncharacterized. The record is from RefSeq and is a predicted model, not a curated record. Lineage: Eukaryota; Metazoa; Chordata; Chondrichthyes; Orectolobiformes; Hemiscylliidae. The transcript has 4 exons.
GCAGGAGCCGGUGACCAUUCUGGAGGCGGAUGGGGUUAAGGGCCUGUUUGGGAACUGGUCGGCCGCCUGGGUGGUGGAGUUCUACUGGUCGUGGGGCGGCCCCUGUGUCAACUAUGGGGCCACCUGGAAGGUACUGGGCCCGGGAGGUGAAAGAAAAGGGGCAAAACCUACUUUUGAUGGACAAAUAAGGCUCACUGGAGGACCGGAAGGAGACUUGUCCUCCUGCCAUUUGGAGGUCCCCUAUUGGUGAACGCGGAAGUUGGGCCAUGAGGUUCUGAAGUUCCUGCCCCUCCCCUCUCUCAAUGAAGAUUGAGCUUCACUCAGACUGCAGCUUCCUUCCUCUGUCCAACAUCUGGCCACCAGAAGCCUUCUCAGUACUCUACAAGUGACUUCACCAACAUCCUGUACACCUUCAACAUGAUGUCCCAACUCCUUUGUUCAAUGGUGUGAACAAUUAAGCUAACCGAUGAAGGAGCAGCGCACUGAAAGCUAGUGCUUCCAAAUAAAUCUGUUGGACUAUAACCCACUGUUGUGAUUUUUCAACCUUGUCCCACCUAGUCCAACAGCAGCACCUCCACCUCCUUUCUAAUGAACACAGCCCAUACCUCCCGGUGCUGCCAGUAAACUGCCGAUGAAAUGAUGCAGUGCCUGCACUCCUGAAAAGUUUAUAAUUUCUAACGAAACCAGCUACUCAUUCACUGCUCCAUCUGAUACACGACUUUGGAAACUUAGUGCAGGAGGCUGCAAGAAAUGAGCAGCUUUAAAACAAAAACCGCUUGGAGCUUUCAAUGAGAGCCUGAGCCCAGCAGUACGUUCUGGUUACCUUUAUUGUGGCCCAACAUUGUUACAGCUGCAGAUGCCCCCAGCAAAAGGGCAGAGAAAGAAUAGCUGUGUAUUAGACAGCUCAACAACAGGGGGAGGUGCACGGGGCAGGGCAAGGCCAACAGCAGGCCCCCGCACUACGCCUGCGUUGCCUUGCACAGUUUACAAAAAUCCCUUCCCCUUCAGAGACUCCCCACAGUGUAGAAGCAGGCCACUCGACCCAAAGACUACACACCGAUCCUCCAAAGGGUAACCCACCAUGCAAUUCCCCUACCCCAUUGCUCAACAUUUUCCCCUGACUAAUGCACCUAACCUGCACAUCCCUGGGCACUAUGGGUAUUUCAGUACUGUCAAUCCACCUGAACCUGGACAACUCGUAUAUGCCAACCAGAUAUCCCAACCCAAUCUAGUCCCACCUGCCAGCACGGGGCCCAUAUCCCCCCAGUUGCCUUUUAAAUGUUGCAAUUGUAUCAGCCUCCACCACUUCCUCUGGCAGCUCAUUCCAUACACGUACCACCCUCUAAAUGAGAAGGUUGCCCCUUAGGUCUCUUUCAUAUCUUUCCCCUCUCACCCUAAACCUAUGCCCUGUAGUUCUGGACUCUCCCAUCCCAUAGAAAAGACUUUGUCUGUCUAUCCUAUCCAUGCCCCUCAUGAUUUUAUAAACCUCUAUAAGGUCACCCCUCAGCCUCUGACGCUCCAGGGAAAAUAGCCCCAGCCUGUUCUGUCUCUCCCUAUAGCUCAAAUCCUCCAGUCUUGGCGACAUCCUUGUAAAUCUUUUUAGAUUAGAUUAGAUUACUUAGUGUGGAAACAGGCCCUUCGGCCCAACAAGUCCACACCGACCUGCCGACGCGUAUAUCACCCAGACCCAUACUCCGGGGGUUUGCAAGGACUGCCACAAACACUACGUAGGACAAACAGGAAGAAAGUUAGCCACCAGGAUACACGCACACCAGCUAGCCAGAAAAAGACACGAUCUUCUAUCCCUUGUCGCCCAACAUACGGAUGAAAGAAAACACCACUUCGACUGGGACAACAUCUAUCCUGGGACAGGCUAAGCAAAGACAUGCCAGAGAAUUCCUAGAGGCCUGGCACUCCAAUCACAACACCAUAAACAAACACAUAGAUCUAGAUACCAUCUAUCAACCCCUCAGAAAAUGAACAGGAAAUGACAUCACCACAAACCCCAGGAACCCCAUCCAGGCCAAACAUAUAAAUCGAAAGCAGGAGACAACAGCUUCGCUUCAGUUGGAGGUCGCCACUGAUGAUGUUCCCGAACCAGGUAAUGAAACGUCUGGAUAUCAAACCUACAGCUCAGCGAGCAAACCUACACCCUAAUCCUCAACCUGAGCUACAAACCUUGCAAAGUUGAAUGUAUUUGCAAACAUCAUGCUGCAAAUACAAA